UGGGGAAUAUUGCACAAUGGGCGAAAGCCUGAUGCAGCAACGCCGCGUGCGGGAUGAAGGCCUUCGGGUUGUAAACCGCUUUCACCAGGGACGAAGUUGACGGUACCUGGAGAAGAAGCACCGGCUAACUACGUGCCAGCAGCCGCGGUGAUACGUAGGGUGCGAGCGUUGUCCGGAUUUAUUGGGCGUAAAGAGCUCGUAGGCGGUUUGUUGCGUCGGAAGUGAAAACCCAGGGCUUAACUUUGGGCUUGCUUUCGAUACGGGCAGACUUGAGGAAGGUAGGGGAGAACGGAAUUCCUGGUGGAGCGGUGGAAUGCGCAGAUAUCAGGAGGAACACCGGUGGCGAAGGCGGUUCUCUGGACCUUUCCUGACGCUGAGGAGCGAAAGCGUGGGGAGCAAACAGG
Molecule: ribosomal RNA, 404 nt
Filed under: uncultured bacterium
Lineage: Bacteria
Description: bacterial SSU rRNA
Rfam family: Bacterial small subunit ribosomal RNA
Source: RNAcentral